AGACUUAGUUUACCAAAUAAUUAAGAAAAUGUUGACAAAGCACCACAGCCCAGGAGUGAAUCAACACUGGCACUUUAUAUCAAAAUGCAGGAUGGUAGCUGAAGCUCAUAUGUAUCUCCUAUGUAAACACCUAAAUGCCAUGACUGGACUUCAAAACAGAUUCUGAUAGUUUUACUAGCAUUAUGGACAAGAAGUACAUGUAUAUACUUCGAACAGACACAAAAACAAAUAGGUCCAUGCCAAACUUUGAAAGAUUUAUGCUGAGGGUAAGUUUUAUUAUUAUAUAGAAUUGUCAGACACAUGGUUAUGUCUAAAAUUUAACUGUUGUCAUUUAUAUCAGUGAUAAGCAAUAUUUUGUAUUAGCUCACCUGAGCUGACAUAAUCACAAAAAAUGUUUUUUAAAACUAAUUUAAAAGUAACCUGAGUCAGUCAUGACUUAUUGCUAUC
Long non-coding RNA from Saccostrea echinata, 447 nucleotides. RefSeq lists it as uncharacterized. Lineage: Eukaryota; Metazoa; Mollusca; Bivalvia; Ostreida; Ostreidae. The record is from RefSeq and is a predicted model, not a curated record. The transcript has 3 exons.